Molecule: ribosomal RNA, 253 nt
Filed under: uncultured bacterium
Lineage: Bacteria
Description: partial 16S ribosomal RNA
Rfam family: Bacterial small subunit ribosomal RNA
Source: RNAcentral
UACGUAGGGUGCAAGCGUUAAUCGGAAUUACUGGGCGUAAAGCGUGCGCAGGCGGUUUUGUAAGCCAGAUGUGAAAUCCCCGGGCUCAACCUGGGAAUGGCAUUUGGGACUGCAAGGCUUGAGUUUGGCAGAGGAGACUGGAAUUCCUGGUGUAGCAGUGAAAUGCGUAGAUAUCAGGAGGAAUACCGAUGGCGAAGGCAGGUCUCUGGGCUAUAACUGACGCUCAUGCACGAAAGCGUGGGGAGCAAACAGG